Molecule: long non-coding RNA, 1580 nt
Filed under: Coccomyxa subellipsoidea
Lineage: Eukaryota; Viridiplantae; Chlorophyta; Trebouxiophyceae; Coccomyxaceae
Description: long non-coding RNA (CSUB_LNC000073)
Source: RNAcentral
GAAACAGGGCGUCAUAGCUUCUCGCUUAGUGCAUAACGACUCAAGAGUCCUUAAAGCGCCUGACGGCAUACCACCUGGCCACAAAAACCGCUACUCCAGAAAGGCUUAGUACGUGCCCAAACGCCACUUUUGAGCACGUUCAAGACCCCAGCUUCUAGCAAGAAUUUUGUCUUCAGGUGUUGUAUUUUGGAAGGCUGUGAUCUGCAUGUUCUAGAAACCGCAAAAUCGUCGACUGUAUCUUGAGACUUGCUGGCACCAAAGAGUUGACAAUGGCGCUUUCUUGUCCGCCAGCAAGCACUGAAGAGUAGCUAAUGGGAAUUCCAUAUCAAUGUCAUUCAUCAUUCUUGUUGGCAUUGACACGAGUGUGAGGAUGGGACCGCCUGUUAUGUACAGGUUGUUUGCUUUGGGAACCUUUCCUACUCGCCCACGCCAAACCCUCUCUGGGUACUCACAUUGUAGCUUCGGGCUGCAGGGGGUGAUUAGAAAAGGCUUUGUGGAAGGAAAUGGAGAACCCACCUCCGCCACCAGGACCUUCAGGGCUGCCUCCCGGAAAGGGAGAAGGAGAAGGCAGCAGCUCCUCCAGCAAUCAGAGGCAGCCAGUGCUGGAUCUAUUUGGCGGAGAUAUGAUGCCUGCAGCAAUCGUUCUCGUCCUGUUGCUCCUCAAUCUCAUGAGCGGUGCGCCAUCUUUGGAGGGUCAGACCUUGGUCCUUGUUCAACGGAGCAAUAGAGCUAAAUACAGCUGAAGGCUCCUUUGUGGCAGAAUGCAAACAGACAGCUGAGUGUUUCUGUGUGUGUGCAGCAUCAAUGCAGCGGUGCACCUGCUGACUGGUGGUUGUCCAAGCAUCCCCCGCAGCUUGCAACUGGAACAUGUAUAGAUUGAACAAUUCACAGAACGGCAAGUGCCAGAAUGAAACGAACCGUGGGAGCUACAGAUAUGCAAAUGUACAUAAGUUAAGAACACUUCUGUGCCUUGACAAAUUUAUCGCCCCACCAAUUGACAAGCUCAUGUGGCCUGCUGUGAAUUCACCCAUGGUAGGAGGGUAGUACGUCAGAAGGCAGAAUGCUUUGGUCUAAUUUUGGACGCAUGCGGGGUCAAUCGGGGACCUGUCUCCUGAACAACGAAUGAUAAGCAUUGCAUCCAUUUGAUGCUGUCCAAGGAGCUUAUUUUGAAUUGGGCUUCCAAUGUCUGCAGCUGCCAGCACCGUGGAGCGCAGUGGGUAAAAAUAAGGCAGAGAUUUCCGAGAGUCUCUAGAAACGUCCGAGGGUUGCUAGAUCAGCAAUAGAUUGCGUCGGUCUGCGAAAGAAUGACCAGGAUACUGUAGAGUAAAAUAUGCACGCAAUCCUGCGUACUCUAGUGCGCUGUGCGCAGGUCAUGUGCAGGUGCACCUGCCGGAGGUUCCAGCAACUUGCCAUUGCAAAUUGCAAGCUUGACUUUGAAAUUUCAUCCAUGAAACUUAGUUACUCACGUUCAUUGCAGGUGCUGCCGUGUUUGCUUGCAACUGCAUCCAACGAGUCAUGCUUUUACUUCCAUGCAUAUAGUGGAUCCCGGUAUAGCGAUUUAUGCAUCGAGGUGAUGAUAA